This 558-nucleotide ribosomal RNA is filed under the name Aureobasidium pullulans. RNAcentral's name for it is "partial large subunit ribosomal RNA". Lineage: Eukaryota; Fungi; Ascomycota; Dothideomycetes; Dothideales; Saccotheciaceae. The record is from RNAcentral.
UGGAGCGGCUMCAGCUCRGAUUUGAAAGCUAGCCYUCGGGUUCGCAUUGUAMUUUGUAGAGGAUGAUUUGGGGAAGCCGCCUGUCUAAGUUCCUUGGAACAGGACGUCRUAGAGGGUGAGAAUCCCGUAUGUGACAGGAAAUGGCACCCUAUGUAAAUCUCCUUCGACGAGUCGAGUUGUUUGGGAAUGCAGCUCUAAAUGGGAGGUAAAUUUCUUCUAAAGCUAAAUAUUGGCGAGAGACCGAUAGCGCACAAGUAGAGUGAUCGAAAGAUGAAAAGCACUUUGGAAAGAGAGUUAAAAAGCACGUGAAAUUGUUGAAAGGGAAGCGCUUGCAAUCAGACUUGUUUAAACUGUUCGGCCGGUCUUCUGACCGGUUUACUCAGUUUGGACAGGCCAGCAUCAGUUUCGGCGGCCGGAUAAAGGCUCUGGGAAUGUGGCCUCCACUUCGGUGGAGGUGUUAUAGCCCGGGGUGUAAUACGGCCAGCCGGGACUGAGGUCCGCGCUUCGGCUAGGAUGCUGGCGUAAUGGUUGUAAGCGACCCGUCUUGAAACACGGACC